This 31-nucleotide non-coding RNA is filed under the name Rattus norvegicus (Norway rat). Lineage: Eukaryota; Metazoa; Chordata; Mammalia; Rodentia; Muridae. The record is from RNAcentral.
UAUGGUGAUAAUGGUCCCGAUCGGAUACCUG